CCUACGGGAGGCAGCAGUGGGGAAUCUUGCGCAAUGGGCGAAAGCCUGACGCAGCAACGCCGCGUGCGGGAAGAAGGCCUUAGGGUUGUAAACCGCUUUCAGUAGGAACGAAAAUGACGGUACCUGCAGAAGAAGGUGCGGCCAACUACGUGCCAGCAGCCGCGGUGACACGUAGGCACCAAGCGUUGUCCGGAUUUAUUGGGCGUAAAGAGCUCGUAGGCGGUUCAGUAAGUCGGGUGUGAAAACUCUGGGCUUAACCCAGAGCCGCCACUCGAUACUGCUGUGACUUGAGUUCGGUAGGGGAGCAGGGAAUUCCUAGUGUAGCGGUGAAAUGCGCAGAUAUUAGGAGGAACACCGGUGGCGAAGGCGCUGCUCUGGGCCGAUACUGACGCUGAGGAGCGAAAGCGUGGGUAGCAAACAGGAUUAGAUACCCUGGUAGUCCACGCCGUAAACGUUGGGCACUAGGUGUGGGUUCCAACCAACGGAAUCCGCGCCGUCGCUAACGCAUUAAGUGCCCCGCCUGGGGAGUACGGCGGCAACGCUAAAACUCAAAUGAAUUGACGG
This 564-nucleotide ribosomal RNA is filed under the name uncultured bacterium. Its description in RNAcentral is "bacterial SSU rRNA". It matches the Rfam family "Bacterial small subunit ribosomal RNA", at positions 338 to 916 of the family's 1533-position model. The record is from RNAcentral.